UCCAGAUCCUUUUAUAUAGACAAUGAGUUUUACUUCUUUCUCAGGUUUAUAGUAUGGCUCACACCAUAUUAUUUAAAGAUUCUAUUUAUAGAUAUGGCUUUGGAAAUUCUUGGUUUUACACACCUUGUAAAGUGAAUGGUCUUACAGACAAGAUUUUCAAAAGUGGAUGUAGUGAAUAAAAAGUAAUACAUGUUUUUAUUGACAUAUUUUGUCAAAUUGCCCAUCUAGAACUCUUAAAAAUCGGAGGUGAAAAUUCCCACACUGUUACCAACACCAGUUGUAAUCAGCCUUUACACUUUUUUCCUCAAAUUACUGUAUUUUUUUAACAAAUUUAUUUAAAUUCACAUUAGUUAACAUACUGUGUAGUAUUGGUUUCAGGAAUAGAACCCAGUAAUUCAUCACUUACAUUUACCUGAUGGACAGGAUGUAGUAUCUCGUGGCCUCAAUCCGCACUCGUCUGAUUACUCAUGAUGAUUUUUCCUUUUGUUUUUCUGACUUGUUCCUGUUAUGAAUCUUCUGUUGCAAGGUUUAUCUUUUUUCUCGUUGGUUUUGAAGAUGAUUCUUCUAUGAGUAUCAGCCUUUGUUGUGCAUGUUUCUCUGCAUUUUUCUCUUCUCACUUUGUAAUGUCUUUUGCACCAUGGCAGCUUCAUAUUAUUAUGUCUUCAGAUUUGUCAAUCUUCUGCUUACGGCUUUUGCCAUUAAUCUUUUGUAAGUCAGACACGGGUUAUGAUACAUUUGAAGAGUUAGCAAUGCUACUUCAACUUCACGCUAAUUGAGACGAUCUCCCUGUUGUCCUAAUUGAGUUGCACAUAGUAACCAACCAUCUGGUGGUUUUCCAAUGUCUUAGGGGUUGUUUUCCUUCGGAUUAUUUACCCAGCCCUCCUGAAAUUUCUCCCUGUGUCUUUGUGGGUGGAAUUCUUCAGCUGUAAGUCGUUCCCUGCAAAGUCAGAAAAACAAUGACUACAAACUGAAUUACCAAGUCGGCAGGUUGCAGAUCUCAGGGCAUUUGUGGAGCCGAGCCCAUGCAGGCAGCCUCCCAGCCCCAAGUCCAGGACAUGUACAAGCCUCCAGGACAGAGGAUGGCACUCGGGACAAUUUGAAGCAUGUGGGGGACCUGGAGAGAUAGCUCUGCCCUGACAGAGGCAGGAUUCAGUGGCCUGCCCCGAGACCAGACGCAGCCAGUGGAAGAGCUGCCUUCAGUGAGUUGGCAUCUGGGUGCUUCCCUUGACAAGGUGCAACAUUUGAUCAUACCCCUUUUGGCAGUUGUUCGGCUACGCAUCCUGCAGUAAGCGCUCCCCAGCCGAGACGGACGGGCGAGUGAGUCCUGCAAAUCUAGAACUGGUGUGAGAAGCGGAAGGCUUCAAGGGUCUUAUUUUAAUUGUGCCCCUGGUACUGAAGAAACACCGGAAUUAUGAAGUUGUUAAGUAUUUCUUCCAUACAUUUAUAUUUUCUACAGCUGCACGAGUGCCCAUGUAACUCAGACAUUCCCAUUACUGUGUUUGCACAUGUAUAAAAUGAUAGGAAACACAAAAAUUGAAAACACCAGUGGGGUCACAAUCAUUUAAGAGCUAUAUGGAACUUGUAUUUUUUGGUGACAUUUUCUAUAAGGUGAAGAGCUCUUGAGGUGCAUGAGGCAUUUUGAGAAAUUUCUUUGCAUAAAUUUGCCAGCAUGUGGUUAAUUCAGUAGUCAAAUCCUAUAUUUUCUCAUGAAAAUUUAUGUUUCAUAAAGUCAUAUAAUUUGUUGAAAAAAUUUUGACUUUUGACUUAGCUCCAGACCAGAGCAAUUAGGUCAAAAUAUCUGCAGGUGUGGGUCAGGCAGUGGCUUGUUUAAAGUCCCUGUUUUUCGUUUCUUUUUCUUUUUCUUUUUUUGUAUGUAGGCUUCACACCUAGUGUGGAGCCCAACAUGGAGCAUGAACAACUCACGACCCUGAGAUCAAGAAAUCGGCUGAAAUCAAGAGUCUGAUGCUUAAUAGACUGAGCCACCCACCCCCCCCGCCCCCGGCCCCUGUUUUCUAACGUAACCUGUGUUAACCACCAACUAUACAAAAGGUGUAGUGUAUUCAUUUAAGCCUUUUUUAAUAACAGAGAAAUCAGU
Long non-coding RNA from Acinonyx jubatus (cheetah), 2095 nucleotides. RefSeq lists it as uncharacterized. Lineage: Eukaryota; Metazoa; Chordata; Mammalia; Carnivora; Felidae. The transcript is spliced from 5 exons. The record is from RefSeq and is a predicted model, not a curated record.